This 1451-nucleotide long non-coding RNA is filed under the name Homo sapiens (human). RNAcentral describes it as "non-protein coding lnc-DCLK3-3:1". Lineage: Eukaryota; Metazoa; Chordata; Mammalia; Primates; Hominidae. The record is from RNAcentral.
UCUGUCAGCCCUUUGUCCAGUGAGAGAGCAGAAAUGAACAUCCUAGAAAUCAACCAGGAAUUGCUCUCACAGCUGAAAAUGAGCGAACAGCAGUUCCGAGACCUCAAAGAGAAAUUUCUUGUCUCUGAAGCUUCUGCCGAGUGUGAGGAGCACAAAGGCAUCACAGAAUCUCAGCUGGGGGAGAAGAUGCAGUUCAAGGAGGAGAAGCUGGCAGAGAAGUCGACACAAGCUGAGGAGCUCAGGUGAGGGAGGCUCUGUGUGGUGGGGCAGGCAGGUGAACCUUAGGUGAUACAAAGCCCUAGUUCACUCUCAGGUGUGAGAGCUGACCCAGUUAAGGAAGAAGUUAUGGGAAGGGAGAGAUGCCUCCCUCUUACUCAAUCAGCAUCUGAAGGCCCUUCUCACUGAUGAUGACCCUGACAACCACCAGGGGCAGGACCUCCGAGAGCAGCUGGCUGAGGGGCGAGGGGCGCAGGCUGGCAGAGUGCCUUGUCCGCAAGCUCAGCCCAGCAGAAAAUGAUGAAGUUGGAAAUGAAGAUGCUAAAGAUGAGAAAGUUGAAAAAGUCCAAGGACCACUUGCCUCCAGCGGUGGAGGUACAGGAGGCUGAAGAAAAGGAAGUCCCUUAGAACUCACUGGAGGAAUAUUCUGCCACUUGCUCAAUUUGCCAUGACUCUUCGGAUUCCCACCAGCCUCAGAGGUGUGCCAAAAUCACACCUGAGGAAGAGAAAGUCGACUCUGCUCUGGAUGUAGGCAGUGAAUCUUCACAUUAUGAAGGGGAGGAGGAAGUGCUAAAAGAAAAUCAAAAUGAUAAUGAGGAAGAGGACGGGAAACAGCCAGUGUCCCCCAGGCACCAGGCCCAGCAGGCAGCUGCUGGAGAUGGAAGAACUCGAUGUCUCAGAGGACGCACUGGAUGAAAGUUACUUGACUCCUUCAAUUGAAUAUGACCUAUGUGACUGCCACCAGGCUUACAGUAAGUAGCACCUUGUGCUUAUUGGAGGAACAGCUCACCUGCUUUGCUAUGGAUGUAGUCUGUCCCCAAGGGUCUUGGAGUGGAGACUUGAGCCACCGCCUGUCAGAGGUGCAAUCUUCACAUGCACAGCUGGAGCCAAGUACCCUGGUGCUCAGUUGUAUGCAAUUGCAGCUGGAUCAACGGUUUGAUUAUGGCUAUGGCAUAGUCAGGUGGUGCAUUUCCUCCACCACCCGGACCUUCACAGCCAAAUCUGAUUCUGGGAACCAAUGGCCCUUCAGCUGGGUUUGGAGCCUUCCCUUAGAAUGAAGAACCCUCCCCAACUGGAGGAUGAUGAUCUUGAAGGUCCAGCUGACAACAUGCAUGAGUGUCAAGUCAUUGGCCACAUUCAUGCCUCAAGUGUUCUGAAACAGAUUAUCAAAAGAAAACUGCUGUUGAGCAAGUUCAGACUGGCAUGCAGAUUUCCUUGCCUUCAAGCUUAAGGUA